UUGGAAACCCUGCUGCUGCACG
Molecule: unclassified non-coding RNA, 22 nt
Filed under: Chlamydomonas reinhardtii
Lineage: Eukaryota; Viridiplantae; Chlorophyta; Chlorophyceae; Chlamydomonadales; Chlamydomonadaceae
Description: small RNA Cre_3967
Source: RNAcentral